CAGUCGCCACGGUAAUACGUAGGUCCCGAGCGUUGUCCGGAUUUAUUGGGCGUAAAGCGAGCGCAGGCGGUUAGAUAAGUCUGAAGGUAAAGGCUGUGGCUUAACCAUAGUACGCUUUGGAAACUGUUUAACUUGAGUGCGGAAGGGGAGAGUGGAAUUCCAUGUGUAGCGGUGAAAUGCGUAGAUAUAUGGAGGAACACCGGUGGCGAAAGCGGCUCUCUGGUCUGUAACUGACGCUGAGGCUCGAAAGCGUGGGGAGCAAACAGGAUUAGAUACCCGUGUAGUCCCUGUCUCUUAUACA
RNAcentral lists this ribosomal RNA (301 nucleotides) under uncultured bacterium. Its description in RNAcentral is "partial 16S ribosomal RNA". It matches the Rfam family "Bacterial small subunit ribosomal RNA", at positions 509 to 808 of the family's 1533-position model. The record is from RNAcentral.